CGAAGUUUAACGGGCACAGGCCAAUUAAAGGCUUUAUCUGCCUAAAUUUAUUUUCUGGUUUUCGAAGAGAGAGAAAAGCCAAGCCUGUAGGUAGAGAGAGAGUGAGAGAGAGAAUUUCUCUCUGACUCAUUAGUUGGUUGAAGGUGUUCUGAUUAUCCGCAAUCAGAACUAUAGAGUAGAGCACCUGGUUCUGAUGCUAUGAUUUUGUGAUUGAUUAUUUGAGAUCAAUAAUGGAUUCUGCGAGAAGUUGGUUUCAUAGAUUGCGACAUAAGGAGGAAAAGUUGAAACCUGGUCCCACAAAAAAGACAGAAAUGGAGAACACAAUGAAGUCAUCGUUUGAUGAUGCACCCUCAAAUGUCACCAAACAGAAGGUUGCUGCAGCAAAGCAAUAUAUUGAGAAUCAUUACAAAUCUCAAAUGAAGUCUUUGCAAGAUAGGAAAGAGAGACGAUGGAUCCUGGAGAAGAAUCUCGCUGAUGCUGAUGUUCCUGCAGAAGAGCAAGUUAAUCUUCUAAAAUAUUUAGAGAGAAAGGAAACAGAAUACAUGCGACUUCAAAGACACAAGAUGAGUGUUGAUGAUUUUGAGCUUUUGACCAUCAUAGGAAGGGGUGCAUUUGGGGAGGUGAGACUUUGCAGAGAAAAGAGUAGUGGCGUUGUUUAUGCCAUGAAAAAGCUAAAGAAAUCAGAGAUGCUACGUAGAGGCCAGGUGGAACAUGUUAAAGCUGAAAGGAAUCUUCUUGCCGAGGUUGACAGUGACUGCAUUGUUAAACUGUACUGCUCCUUUCAAGAUGAUGAGUUCUUGUAUCUUAUAAUGGAAUAUCUUCCGGGGGGUGACAUGAUGACGUUACUAAUGCGCAAGGAUACUUUGACUGAGGAUGAGGCCAGGUUUUAUGUUGGCCAGACAGUCCUUGCCAUCGAGUCCAUUCACAAGCACAACUACAUUCAUAGGGAUAUUAAGCCUGACAAUUUGUUACUGGAUCGCAAUGGCCACAUGAAGCUUUCAGAUUUUGGGUUGUGUAAACCCUUGGACAGCAGUAGCUUUCCAGAUCUAACUGAGAAUGAUUAUGGAGGAGGAAGGAAUUUGAAAUCUCCAUCAGGGGAUGCUAAGAAUUCUAACCAGCCAUCAACACCGAAGAGGACGCAGCAGGAACAGUUGUUACACUGGCAAAAGAACAGAAGAAUGUUGGCUUAUUCAACAGUAGGAACUCCUGACUAUAUUGCCCCAGAAGUCUUGCUAAAGAAGGGUUAUGGGAUGGAAUGUGACUGGUGGUCCCUUGGGGCAAUCAUGUACGAAAUGCUUGUGGGUUAUCCACCUUUCUAUUCUGAAGAACCAAUGUCAACAUGCAGAAAGAUUGUAAACUGGAGAGCUCACCUAAAAUUCCCGGACGAAGCAAGGUUGUCUGUUGAGGCCAAAGAUCUCAUAAAGAAACUCUUGUGCAAUGUUGAGCAGAGGCUUGGUACCAAGGGAGCUCAUGAAAUUAAGGCACACCCAUGGUUUAGAGGGAUCAGAUGGGACACAUUGUAUCAGACUGAUGCCGCUUUUAUACCAGAGGUUAAAGAUGAAUUAGAUACUCAGAAUUUUGAGAAGUUUGAAGAGUCAGAGCCUGUAAUUCCGACUUCAUCAAAAGCGGGUCCUUGGAGGAAGAUGCUUCCGUCCAGGGAUGCAAAUUUUGUUGGUUACACAUACAAAAAUUUUGAAAUCGUCAAUGAGCAUAGCGUUCCUGGCAUUGCUGAGUUAAAGAAAAAGACGAACAAGCCAAAGAGACCAUCAAUCAAGACAUUAUUCGAGGCGCCUGAACCUCCUGAUGAGGUCUCCGAAAGUCCUGAUCCACCCCGGCGCUUCUCUAGGCCUCCACAAAGUCAAAAUAACCCUCAAAGAAGACGAUGACUCCCUACAAUUUUAACAGAAGACGCAGAAAUGAAAAGAACAAGAAGCUAAGAGGAAACAGAUCCAAAGGGUGUUUUUUCUUUUUUCUAUGUUUAGGAACUAAUCCCCUAUUAUUUUCUAUCAAAGGCGGAGUUCUAGCUAGCUAGAUGGAUUUCCAGGGCAUUGUGGGGAUAGUGAUUUCAACAAGAUGAAGCCAUGCGGAUAAAGUUACUUGGUAGGAUGUGCAGCUGCAUGCAUGCAUAAAUGCAUUGAUUGGCAAGGACGUAUGGUUUACGGACUUAUGUUACGGCACCGGGUUGGGUGUCGUAGAAUGCUGCAGUUGGUGCAGUAUUGUGCACUGGUUUAUCUGUUUCUGUAUAACUCGGAAGAAUAAUGAUUUGGCCGAGUCCAUUGUUCUCUCUAGGCACCUUAAAUCAUUUGAAGAGGGAGUCAUGUGGCUCUCACGGGCAUAGGCUAAGGGUUGGGACUGUAUAUAUGUUGGUUUCAAAGAGCUAUGAGUUUAGUUAUUAUAUAGUUAGUGUAGGUUUCGCGUAUAAAUCUUGUCGUUAGAUUUCGUGAUUUAACUCCCCUAUAGAAAUAUUGGCGCUGAAUUGCGGGCCUUGAGAUGAGAAGUUUUACCUUUUAGCCCCAAAGAAGCGGCCAUGUGUUACUCUCUAGGCAACUUAAAUCAUAUAUUUAUGUGCAUCCCAUUGCCAGCCUAGGAGCCUGUUUGAUACUUUUAAUUAAUUGCAUAAAUUCAUACAUAUAUGUACAACGUUUAUAUACAAUUUUAAUUCUCA
RNA transcript from Diospyros lotus (date-plum), 2665 nucleotides. RefSeq lists it as uncharacterized. NCBI's taxonomy places the organism in Eukaryota, Viridiplantae, Streptophyta, Magnoliopsida, Ericales, Ebenaceae. The transcript has 15 exons. The record is from RefSeq and is a predicted model, not a curated record.